UACGGGGGGAGCAAGCGUUGUUCGGAUUUACUGGGCGUAAAGGGCGCGUAGGCGGUCAGCACAAGUCAGUUGUGAAAUCUCCGGGCUUAACUCGGAAAGGUCAACUGAUACUGUGCGACUAGAGUGCGGAAGGGGCAACUGGAAUUCUUGGUGUAGCGGUGAAAUGCGUAGAUAUCAAGAGGAACACCAGUGGCGAAGGCGGCUACCUGGGUCCAUACUGACGCUGAGGCGCGAAAGCGUGGGGAGCAAACAGG
RNAcentral lists this ribosomal RNA (254 nucleotides) under uncultured bacterium. RNAcentral describes it as "partial 16S ribosomal RNA". It matches the Rfam family "Bacterial small subunit ribosomal RNA", at positions 524 to 776 of the family's 1533-position model. The record is from RNAcentral.